Danio rerio (zebrafish) is the source of this 383-nucleotide non-coding RNA. Lineage: Eukaryota; Metazoa; Chordata; Actinopteri; Cypriniformes; Danionidae. The record is from Ensembl.
AGAACACAAACCAACUAAGAGAGAUUAGUUCAACACAGAGAGAGAGGACAACAUCAAGUUUUCAGAGCCAGUCAGUUCAGCAAGAAAUGAGGUCAUUUCCUGGGUUUUUCCGAGAGGAGCGUAGAGGGAAAAGCUGUUUUGCACCAUAUAAGUGGAAAUGUAAAAGCUUAUUAAUGUAUUUUUACCUGCUGGACAAACAGCAUGAAAAAACACCAAAAGGAGAGGCAGAAGUACAUCUCACUAUGGCUGGACUUGAAAGACAGCAGUUAAAUGUGCAAGAAAAUUUCCCCCAUUCAGAGCUUUCAGAUAUACUUGUGAAAUUGUUUCUAAAACUGGCCAACAUCUGUGGUGGAUGUUUGUUACGCAAGUCUUCAGGUAUGUUC